UGGGCAGCCUGAAAGCCAAAUCCACGUAGUUGGUAUAGGCCCUUUUUGCUGAGUUGUACAUGACUGUUCUAUGUGAGACAUAGAAGUUAAGGGGAAGAAAUAUUAAAGACGCGCAAGGAAAAGCUAUCAGAAAUUCACAGGGCCACCUUUGGAAAAAGAAAUCUGUUAGAUUGUUUGGACCUCACAGAAAAAUGAUGAGCAUCUAGGAAUCAAGCUGGGGAGGAACUGCGGCUUCUAGAGAUGCACUGAGUGGUUACGUGCAACCUGUGUGGACUCAUAGAGAAUUUCUCUGAAGGGAAGUUUGAUCAACAAGGUCAUGGGGGACAGAAUGCAAUAAAAGAGGAAGAGAGUUUUCUUCAGGACAUGGGAGGAGAACUUGGAGUGAUUUGCUAUUUAAUGAAAUAACAGUGAAGGAAGCAAAUGUUGCAACACCAAGCAGUAGAAUUUGGUGGAGAGAGAGGGGAGAGGAAAAAAAAAAAAAAACAAACA
Molecule: long non-coding RNA, 489 nt
Organism: Cygnus olor (mute swan)
Lineage: Eukaryota; Metazoa; Chordata; Aves; Anseriformes; Anatidae
Exons: 3
Source: RefSeq, a predicted model, not a curated record